Molecule: long non-coding RNA, 2016 nt
Filed under: Trifolium pratense (red clover)
Lineage: Eukaryota; Viridiplantae; Streptophyta; Magnoliopsida; Fabales; Fabaceae
Description: long non-coding RNA (TPRA_LNC003794)
Source: RNAcentral
AUGUUCCUUAUACACCUCCAAAAGGUACUCCAUCACCUGGCAAUCAACCUCCGUAUGUUCCAGUUACACCAUCUCCUGUUCACACCCCUCCUACUGUUCCUUAUACUCCACCAAAAGCUCCUUCUCCUGGAAAUGAACCACCAUAUGUACCAAUUAUAACACCACCAAAAACACCUUCUCCUGUACACACCCCUCCUAGUGUUCCAUAUACUCCACCAAAAUCUCCUUCUCCUGGGAAUGAGCCACCGUAUGUACCAAUUAUACCACCAAAAACACCUUCUCCUAUUCAUACCCCUCCUAGUGUUCCUUAUACUCCACCAAAAGCUCCUUCUCCUGGAAACGAGCCACCAUAUGUACCAAUAAUACCACCACCAAAAAUCCCUUCUCCUAUUCGCACCCCUCCUAGUGUUCCAUACACUCCACCAAAAGCGCCUUCUCCUGGGAAUGAGCCUCCAUAUGUACCAAUUACACCACCAAAAACACCUUCUCCAAUUCACACUCCUCCAAAAACUCCUUCUCCUGGGAAUGAGCCGCCAUAUAUACCAAUUACACCACCAAAAACACCUCCAAUUCAAACACCUCCUAUUCACACCCCUCCUAGUGUUCCAUACACUCCACCAAAAGCUCCUUCUCCUAGGAAUGAGCCGCCAUAUGUACCAAUUACACCACCAAAAACACCUUCUCCAAUUCACACUCCACCAAAAACUCCUUCUCCUAUUCAUACCCCUCCUAGUGUUCCUUAUAGUCCCCCAAAAGCACCUUCUCCUGGGAACCAACCACCGUAUGUACCGAUUACACCACCAAAAACACCAUCUCCUAUUCACACUCCUCCUAGUGUUCCUUAUACUCCCCCAAAAGCACCUUCUCCUGGGAACCAACCACCGUACGUACCAAUUACACCACCAAAAACACCAUCUCCUAUUCACACUCCUCCUAGUGUUCCUUAUUCUCCUCCAAAAACACCUUCUCCUGGUAAUCAACCACCAUAUGUCCCAAUUACACCACCAAAAAGUCCUUCUCCUAUUCAUACCCCUCCUAAUGUUCCUUAUACUCCACCAGAAACUCCUUCUCCUAGCAAUCAACCACCCUAUGUACCAAUUACACCACCAAAAACCCCUUCUCCUAUACACGCCCCUCCGAAUGUUCCUUAUACUCCUCCAGAAGCUCCUUCCCCUAAAAAUCAACCACCUAAUGUUCCAAUUACACCUCCAAAAACUCAUCCCCCUACUUCCAAUCCCAUUCCUCCUAGUAUUGCUCCUUACACUCCCCCUGAAACUCCAUCCCCUAGAAAUCAACCACCAUAUACGCCAAAUCCUCCUAAAACCCCUUCUCCAAUCUCUCAACCACCCUAUGUACCAAUUACACCACCAAAAUCUCCUUCACCUAUUCACACCCCUCCUAAUGUUCCUUAUACACCUCCAACAACUCCUUCCCCUAGCAACCACCCUCCAAAUGUUCCAACAACACCCUCUCCUAUUUCUCAACCUCCAUAUGUUCCAACACCUCCAAAAACACCUUCUCCGAGUUCUCAAGCACCUUACAUUGAAUCACCUCCCAAUACUCCAAUAGCUCCUUCCCCAAGCAAUCACCCUCCAAAUGUACCAACACCUCCAAAAACUCCUUCUCCCAUUUCUCAAGCCCCUUACAUUCAAACACCACCAAACACACCUUCACCAACAUCACAACCACCAUACACUCAAACUCCUCGAAGCACUCCUUCUUCACCAACAUCGCAACCACCUUACAUUUCAACACCUCCAGAGAGUACUCCUUCUCCAUCUUCUCACACACCUCGAGGUGCUCUUUCUCCAAUUUCACAACCUCCAUAUAUUCAAACACCACCAAACUCACAUUCACCAACAUCUCAACCACCUUACAUUAAACCACCACCAAACACCUCUUCUCCAUCAUCUUCCCCGUCAUCAGCACAAACUCCUUCCGAAAGUGGAAUAACACCGUCUCCACUAUCUCCGUAUCCAUCCAACAACUCAACAUCGCCUUCAAUUUCACCUUCGG